Molecule: ribosomal RNA, 492 nt
Filed under: uncultured bacterium
Lineage: Bacteria
Description: partial 16S ribosomal RNA
Rfam family: Bacterial small subunit ribosomal RNA
Source: RNAcentral
AGUGAACGCUGGCGGUAGGCCUAACACAUGCAAGUCGAACGGCAGCACAGUAAGAGCUUGCUCUUACGGGUGGCGAGUGGCGGACGGGUGAGGAAUACAUCGGAAUCUACUUUUUCGUGGGGGAUAACGUAGGGAAACUUACGCUAAUACCGCAUACGACCUACGGGUGAAAGCAGGAGAGCUUCGGACCUUGCGCGAUUGAAUGAGCCGAUGUCGGAUUAGCUAGUUGGCGGGGUAAAGGCCCACCAAGGCGACGAUCCGUAGCUGGUCUGAGAGGAUGAUCAGCCACACUGGAACUGAGACACGGUCCAGACUCCUACGGGAGGCAGCAGUGGGGAAUCUUCGACAAUGGGCGCAAGCCUGAUCCAGCCAUACCGCGUGGGUGAUGAAGGUCUUCGGGUCGUAAAGCUCUUUUGUUGGGAAAGAACAGCAGUAGGUUAAUCCCCCGCUGUUCUGACGGUACCUAAAGAAUAAGCCCCGGCUAACUUCGUG